Molecule: ribosomal RNA, 253 nt
Filed under: uncultured bacterium
Lineage: Bacteria
Description: partial 16S ribosomal RNA
Rfam family: Bacterial small subunit ribosomal RNA
Source: RNAcentral
UACGAAGGGGGCUAGCGUUGCUCGGAAUUACUGGGCGUAAAGCGCACGUAGGCGGAUUGUUAAGUCGGGGGUGAAAUCCUGGAGCUCAACUCCAGAACUGCCUUCGAUACUGGCGAUCUCGAGUUCGGGAGAGGUGAGUGGAACUGCGAGUGUAGAGGUGAAAUUCGUAGAUAUUCGCAAGAACACCAGUGGCGAAGGCGGCUCACUGGCCCGAUACUGACGCUGAGGCGCGACAGCGUGGGGAGCAAACAGG